AUUGAACGCUGGCGGCAUGCUUUACACAUGCAAGUCGAACGGCAGCGCGGGGGCAACCCUGGCGGCGAGUGGCGAACGGGUGAGUAAUGUAUCGGAACGUAUCCUGUAAUGGGGGAUAACCAGUCGAAAGAUUGGGUAAUACCGCAUACGCACGAGAGUGGAAAGUAGGGGAUCGCAAGACCUUACGUUAUAGGAGCGGCCGAUAUCUGAUUAGCUAGUUGGUGGGGUAAAGGCCUACCAAGGCGACGAUCAGUAGCUGGUCUGAGAGGAUGAUCAGCCACACUGGGACUGAGACACGGCCCAGACUCCUACGGGAGGCAGCAGUGGGGAAUUUUGGACAAUGGGCGAAAGCCUGAUCCAGCCAUGCCGCGUGCGGGAAGAAGGCCUCGGUGUAACCGCUUAGUCUA
This 407-nucleotide ribosomal RNA is filed under the name uncultured bacterium. RNAcentral describes it as "bacterial SSU rRNA". It matches the Rfam family "Bacterial small subunit ribosomal RNA", at positions 30 to 441 of the family's 1533-position model. The record is from RNAcentral.